RNAcentral lists this ribosomal RNA (116 nucleotides) under Salmonella enterica. The record is from RNAcentral. Lineage: Bacteria; Pseudomonadati; Pseudomonadota; Gammaproteobacteria; Enterobacterales; Enterobacteriaceae.
CCUGGCGGCACUAGCGCGGUGGUCCCACCUGACCCCAUGCCGAACUCAGAAGUGAAACGCCGUAGCGCCGAUGGUAGUGUGGGGUCUCCCCAUGCGAGAGUAGGGGACUGCCAGGC